AACGAACGCUGGCGGCAGGCCUAACACAUGCGAGUCGAGCGCCCCGCAAGGGGAGCGGCGGACGGGUGAGUAACGCGUGGGAACGUACCCUUUGCUACGGAAUAGCCUCGGGAAACUGGGAGUAAUACCGUAUGUGCCCUUCGGGGGAAAGAUUUAUCGGCAAAGGAUCGGCCCGCGUUGGAUUAGGUAGUUGGUGGGGUAAUGGCCUACCAAGCCGACGAUCCAUAGCUGGUUUGAGAGGAUGAUCAGCCACACUGGGACUGAGGCACGGCCCAGACUCCUACGGGAGGCAGCAGUGGGGAAUCUUAGACAAUGGGCGCAAGCCUGAUCUAGCCAUGCCGCGUGAGCGAUGAAGGCCUUAGGGUUGUAAAGCUCUUUCAGUGGGGAAGAUAAUGACUGUACCCACAGAAGAAGCCCCGGCUAACUCCGUGCCAGCAGCCGCGGUAAAGUCAGUAACU
Molecule: ribosomal RNA, 458 nt
Filed under: uncultured bacterium
Lineage: Bacteria
Description: bacterial SSU rRNA
Rfam family: Bacterial small subunit ribosomal RNA
Source: RNAcentral